RNAcentral lists this ribosomal RNA (425 nucleotides) under uncultured bacterium. Its description in RNAcentral is "bacterial SSU rRNA". It matches the Rfam family "Bacterial small subunit ribosomal RNA", at positions 917 to 1341 of the family's 1533-position model. The record is from RNAcentral.
GGGCCCGCACAAGCGGUGGAGCAUGUGGUUUAAUUCGAAGCAACGCGAAGAACCUUACUAGGUCUUGACAUCCUUCGCUACUUCUAGAGAUAGAAGGUUCCCCUUCGGGGGACGAAGUGACAGGUGGUGCAUGGUUGUCGUCAGCUCGUGUCGUGAGAUGUUGGGUUAAGUCCCGCAACGAGCGCAACCCUUGAUCUUAGUUGCCAGCGGUUCGGCCGGGGACUCUAAGAAGACUGCCAGCGCAAGCUGAGAGGAAGGUGGGGAUGACGUCAAAUCAUCACGGCCCUUACGUCCUGGGCUACACACGUGCUACAAUGGUAGAGACAGAGGGCAGCCACCUGGUGACAGGGAGCGAAUCCUUAAACUCUAUCUCAGUUCGGAUCGAAGUCUGCAACUCGACUUCGUGAAGCUGGAAUCGCUAGUAA